CAUGUUUAGAUCCAAGAUGAGACUUAGGAACUAUUCCUAGUUCUGUAAUGAACUUUUCAUCCAAACAAUCAACUUGCAACUUCAUUUAUAGCUAUAUAAUUUGUCUUUAUCACUAAACCAGCAAAUCUUUGUUGUUUGGAGUCUUUUCAAUUUCACUGCACCACUAUUCAAGGUAACCUUCUACCUUAGAGUGGAUUUUCUGUCGUCUUGGUCUGUCUGAAAAACUUGAGUCUUUUAAGCCUUCUAGUUUUAAUUUAGACCCACCAUAAAUUUUAAUCACAUCCUUAGUGCCAGUUAAGUACUUUAAGAUGUUUUUCACUGUCUUACAGUGAUCUUCUCCAGAAUAUGAUCGAUCAUCAUCAGGUCUCAUAUAUUUCAUUGUAUACAUAAUUGUCACUCAUGCAAUCUCUCUUUUCAAGAGUCUAUGGGGACUAUUAAGAGAGAUACACUCCAUGACUGUUGAUCAAUUUCACAAUCAAUGAAUAUGUCCAAGUAUACACGGUCAACAAGUAAUAAAGUGAUAAGAAAAGUAUCGUUCCCAUGAGGAAUUAUUUAAUAAAAAUGACCAAGUACUGACUCUUAACCAAAUUAAUUUUAUUUAAACAAUUGCUAAGUGUGAUUUUUGUAAUUAAGAAAACUAAAUUAAUCAAUUAAAACUAGAUUACUCUAAAAUUAAUUCAAAUAAAUAAAGAUUAAGACUCGAUGAAUGAAUUCAGAUAAAUAAAGGUUAAAACUACAAUAUUCCCAAUUAUUAUGCCUAAUGAAUUGUUAACAGGAAUUCUAAGUGUUAAAAGCCCUUUCCCAAGUGAUCAGUUAAAUUUUAUUCAAUUCAAUCAAUCUUGCGAUAUUCCUAUGCAAAAUAAUUAAAUUAAACCCAUUAAGUUCCAAUUUCCAAUUUGUUACAUACAGUGAUCAUAUAUUCCUAUUCAAUUCAUGACCCUAAUUAUUCUCAUACAAAUAAUCAAGCAUACAUGUUAUCAUGUCCAGUUCUAACCCGAAAUUUCAUCUUCUGAAUCCUUCUAGAGUAACACAGUAAUUAUUGGCCAAAUAAUCAAUCAAUAUGCAGAAGACAUGAUAAACAAUUCACCUUGACAUAAAUAAUUGGAAUAAAUUAAAUAAUUAAUUCAUAGACAUAAAAGGUUCAAUUUGUAGUCUUAAUAAAAGAGUUAGUUCAUAACGAAAAAUAAAACCAACAAUCUCAUGAAAAUCAUCUUAAAAGAAUUACACAAUUAAAAAUAAUAAUAAGAAGAAACUCUCAAAGAAAAUCUCCCAAGCUUCAAUCUUCAAUUGAAAUUCUUCUCCACAAUCUCCUGCUAAUCCUUGAUUAAUCUUCAGCUCUAUACAAAAUAUUAUUAUUAUAUUGAACAAUAAUUAUUCUUAAAUAUAAUACCAAAGAUUUCAUUGUCCACCAACAAAAUGGAAAUAAUGUUUCUAACAAGAACUGGAAUACAAUAACAACUUAUUGACUUAAUAGAUUUGCCCAUAGGCAAUGCUAAACUAUAAGUUUCUAUGGCUAAUGCAACAACCUUUGCUUCAUUUCCCAGAUAUAGGAUUACUUAUCUUUGUUUAGCUUUCUACUUUUGCUUGGUCCCUUCAUAAAUCUAUAUUUAUGAUAACCAAAGUCAGUAUCCAAUACCCAAGUAGAACCUUGACCUAAAGAAAAAAUGUAUUUUAAUCAUGAACAAAAAACUAUAUUUGUUACCGAAGCUUGACUAAGCUUCUUCUUGUUAGCCUCUACAAGAUACUUCUUGCAGUUUCUUUUUCAGUGUCCAAGCUUAUUGCAGUGGAAGAAAACUCUUUUGCUAUAUGUAUCAGUUUUGUUCUUAUUAUCCUUUAUUUUUACCUUUCUAUUUACCUUCUUUGAAUUGUUCUUCUUUUUAGAAGAUCCUUUGGCCCCUACCAGUAAGACUUGGUUUUUCUUGAUUGGAAAGUGACUCUCAGCUAUUUUUCAACAUGUUAAGCAAAUCAGCGAAGCUGAUAUCUAGCUUGUUCAUAUGAAAAAUUCACAACAAUUGUGAAAGGAGUCUGGGAGUGAGUGCAAGAUCAAAUCUUGAUUCAACUCUCCGUCCAUGACAAAACAUGUUGUCCUAAUUGUUCAAUCAAAUUAAUCAUGUUUAAGACAUGUGUCGUUGGUCGUUCUAGAUCGGAAGAGUUCUUUAGAUAUCUGAUAUCUAUCAGUCCUACUUUCCUCACCAUCAACUACUUGAUGCGCAAGAAUAUAGAAAGAGCAUCCAUAGUUUUAUGCUGACACUGAAGCUCGUUACUCAUGGAUGCAAGCAUGAUGCAUUGAGCCAACCUUGCAUCAUCUUGCCACUUUUUAAAAGUAGCAAUGUCUUCCUCAGAGGCAUUGUCUGCAACCAUUACAAGGAUAAGCGUAUUAAGGACAUAAGAUAGCUUUUCAACCAUGAGAACUAUUCUCAAAUUCCUUAACCAAUCCGUUUAAUUCCGUCCGGUUAAAUAACAUCUAAUAUGCUUCGCAGUGAUAGUAAUUUAGACAUUGUAAAAUUCUGUAAAUGAAUUUGUAAUUGACAAUAUUUUAGCAUACAUUAUUUAUUAAUUACCAAAAUAAAUUAGGUCUUAUUUUAAAUUGGUAUCUCUCAUUAUUUUCAUCAAACUCUAUUACCCUCAUUUAUAUAGUUCGACAAAAUCUAAUUAAAGAUUUGCUAGUGAGAAUAAGGAUCCCAUUUCAAAUGUAUAUAGCCUUGUGGUGACACAACAAACUAUAUAUAAAUAAAUAGGUAGACAACUCUUGUCAAUUACAUCAACUAUGCAACUCCUU
RNAcentral lists this long non-coding RNA (2779 nucleotides) under Panax ginseng (ginseng). RNAcentral's name for it is "long non-coding RNA (PGIN_LNC015666)". Lineage: Eukaryota; Viridiplantae; Streptophyta; Magnoliopsida; Apiales; Araliaceae. The record is from RNAcentral.